Molecule: ribosomal RNA, 433 nt
Filed under: uncultured bacterium
Lineage: Bacteria
Description: partial 16S ribosomal RNA
Rfam family: Bacterial small subunit ribosomal RNA
Source: RNAcentral
AACGAACGCUGGCGGCAUGCCUAACACAUGCAAGUCGAACGAGACCUUCGGGUCUAGUGGCGCACUCGUGCGUAACGCGUUGGAACCUGCCUUUAGGUUCGGCUUAACUCCCCGAAAGGGGUGCUAAUACCGGCUCUUGUCUUCCGUCCAAAGAUUUAUCGCCUUUGGAUGGGCUGGCGUUGUAUUACCUAGUUGUUAGGGUAAAUGCCUUCCAAUGGUACGAUCCAUAGCUGGUCAGAGAGGAAGAUCAGCCACACUGGUCGGGAGACACGGCCCAGACUACUACGGGAGGGAGCAGUGGGGAAUAUUGGAAAGUGGGCGAAAGGCUGAACCAGCAAGGACGCGUGAGUGAUGAAGGCUGGAGGGAUGUAAAGCAAGUUUACACGGGAUGAUAAUGACGGUACCAGGAGAAUAAGCUCCGGCUAACUCCGUG